This 114-nucleotide non-coding RNA is filed under the name Vicugna pacos (alpaca). Lineage: Eukaryota; Metazoa; Chordata; Mammalia; Artiodactyla; Camelidae. The record is from RNAcentral.
GUGUUUGAUGAGAAAGGGCCAGUACUUUCCUGGACAAGGAGGGGAGAGGCCCUGGACCUGGCAACACAUAUACGGUUAAGUCGCCGACUUUGCAGCAUCUAACCAUGGUUUUUA